UGCAGAUCAUAGAAAAUUAUGACUGAGCUUUUCAGAGGUCAUCCAGUUUAUUCCACACUCAUUAAAAAAAAAAAAGAAAAAAGAAAAAAGAGAAGAGAAGAGAAGAGAAGAGAAGAGAAGAGAAGAGAAGAGAAGAGAAGAGAAGAGAUAAAAAAAUAGAAUCAGUGAAACCAUUUCUAAUUAAUGCUUGCUCUCUUUUCUAAAUAUCCUGGGUUUGCACUCUCAUAUGGUAAUUUUAACAGUUCCAUUAUUAGGUUGAAAAUGGACCAGUUCUACUUAACAUCUACUUUAAGUGCUUGCCUGAAAAAGUAAAGUUCUGACAAACUUUGCUGCUAGUCUUGGCAGUAAAAUGAGGUGGUUAGUUAUAUCAGUUUUAAAAUAUUGAUAACAAUGGUGUUGUAAUGAUUUCUAAUUAUUGUGGGAGUUAAUCAGCUGGAUUAUGCAGUUGUAACAGCCAUGAAGUCCCAGGUCACCGCAAGUUUGUUAAAGCAUUAAGGAAUCUCACAGUGGAUACAUUUUUAUGUUGGAGAGAGUUGGUGAGUUAAGUAAGAUUGCAUGUUACUGUGUCAGAAUAAUGGAAAAUAAAUGUCUAACAGCUGUUAUUAAGCAAUAUCAGUGCAAAACAAAUCUGUUCCCAAGGACACCAUUGUGGCUGAGAAAGGACAGAUUACAAUCCCUUGCUACUAACUUUUAGCAUAGUGGGCUAAGCUUCUCUGCACUUUGUUUCUGAUGUGUUUGGGGAUUUUUUUUUCCCAUACAAGCUGAGCGCUCUGGUUUUGACAAAAAUGUUGGCUUGGCAAAAUCUUCUUGAACUUUCAGGGAAAUGGAAGAAAAGAAACCAACUGCUACUUAUGAACUGUUCUUCUAUUUGUAAUUUCUACUGCUUCUUAAAUCAAUGCCUGCAUGUGUCAGUUUUCAGAUACGGUACUGUUGUAUCUGAUUCAUUGUCUUUUUUCAUUGGUUUCCAGAAACCACUGCCUAUGGACUUGCAGUAAACAUUCAAGUGAUUCAAGCCUCUUUAAGGACUGUGAAUUUCUUGUGAAAAAUUCUUGUCUGACCUCUCUGUGCAGCAAGAAGGUAGCAGAAGAUGAAGCUGGGAGCCAUGUACAGAUUUGACGUUCAUUUUGCUGUGCUGCUUUGCUGUAAUGUGCUGUACAAGUAGACUGCUGAGUAUCCCUUAAAAUUAUGAAUAUCUUGCAUGUGUACUAAAGUGACUGUUAUGUGGUAAUGUUUGAAAGUGGUAUCUCUUAAAACAGGAGGAUUUCAAAUUAGAAAGAAUUGCUUGUAGCUUUU
Molecule: long non-coding RNA, 1293 nt
Filed under: Phasianus colchicus (ring-necked pheasant)
Lineage: Eukaryota; Metazoa; Chordata; Aves; Galliformes; Phasianidae
Description: lncRNA (ENSPCLG00000006315.1)
Source: RNAcentral